RNAcentral lists this ribosomal RNA (758 nucleotides) under Escherichia coli. RNAcentral describes it as "bacterial SSU rRNA". It matches the Rfam family "Bacterial small subunit ribosomal RNA", at positions 57 to 808 of the family's 1533-position model. The record is from RNAcentral. Lineage: Bacteria; Pseudomonadati; Pseudomonadota; Gammaproteobacteria; Enterobacterales; Enterobacteriaceae.
GCAGUCGACGGUUUAGGAAGCAUCUUGCUUCUUUGCUGACGAGUGGCAUACGGGUGACUAAUGUCUGGGAAACUGCCUGAUGGAGGGGGAUAACUACUGGAAACGGUAGCUAAUACCGCUUAACGUCGCAAGACCAUAGAGGGGGACCUUCUGGCCUCUUGCCAUCGGAUGUGCCCAGAUGGGAUUAGCUAGUACGUGGCGUAACGGCUCACCUAGGCUACGAUCCCUAUCUGGUCUGAGAGGAUGACCAGCCACACUGGAACUGAAACACGGUCCAUACUCCUACGGGAGGCAGCAGUGGGGAAUAUUGCACAAUGGGCGCAAGCCUGAUGCAGCCAUGCCGCGUGUAUGAAGAAGGCCUUCGGGUUGUAAAGUACUUUCACCGGGGAGGAAGGGAGUAAAGUUAAUACCUUUGCUCAUUGACGUUACCCGCAAAAGAAUCACCGGCUAACUCCAUGCCAGCAGCCCCGGUAAUACGGAGGGUGCAAGCGUUAAUCGGAAUUACUGGGCGUAGAGCGCACGCAUGCGGUUUGUUAAGUCAGAUGUGAGAUCCCCGGGCUCGACCUGAGAACUGCAUCUGAUACUGGCAAGCUUGAGUCGCGUAGAGGGGGGUAGAAUUCCAGGUGUAACGGUGAAAUGCGUAGAGAUCUGGAGGAAUACCGGUGGGCGAAAGCGGCCCUCUGGACCACACUGACGCGCAUGUGCCGAAGCGUGGCGAGCAAACAGGAUUACAUCCCUGGUAGUCUACUCCCUAACCG